Molecule: long non-coding RNA, 498 nt
Organism: Cuculus canorus (common cuckoo)
Lineage: Eukaryota; Metazoa; Chordata; Aves; Cuculiformes; Cuculidae
Exons: 5
Source: RefSeq, a predicted model, not a curated record
GGGGGGGCACUGGGAGCACUGGGAGAGGUCUAGGACGGGGACUGGGAGACGGGGGUGCCAGGCCGAGCCGGAAGCCGGAGGGGAACGAUGAUUGGCUGCGAGGAGAGGGGCGCCCUGUGAUUGGCUGCGACAGCGUCGCCGCGGAGGUGCAGUGAGGGCGGGGACCCCCCCUCCUUCCCCCCCCCCUACAGCCACCCCUCCCCCCGGGGCUGCCCCUCCCCUAACGGGGGGGCCCGGGGGGGACCCAGGUGUCCGGCACCCCAAGACUGGGCUGGAUGCAUCGCGCGGUGGAGCCGUUGGGGGGCAGGGCCGGACGGGACCCCUUCGCCGUGGGGAGCCUGAGCUGCAGUGGGGCCUGGGCCGCCUGCCCCCCCCGGGCCUGGCUGCCCCCCAACAGGUGCUCUUCCAGCGUCGGGCAGGCGCCGCUGCCCCCCCACCUCCCGCCCCCCCCCCGGCGGCAAUGGGGGACCCCCCCACAAGUCCUACUACAGCCCAGGG